RNAcentral lists this ribosomal RNA (903 nucleotides) under Leptographium terebrantis. RNAcentral describes it as "LSU rRNA". It matches the Rfam family "Eukaryotic large subunit ribosomal RNA", at positions 38 to 968 of the family's 3401-position model. Lineage: Eukaryota; Fungi; Ascomycota; Sordariomycetes; Ophiostomatales; Ophiostomataceae. The record is from RNAcentral.
GCAUAUCAAUAAGCGGAGGAAAAGAAACCAACAGGGAUUGCCCCAGUAACGGCGAGUGAAGCGGCAACAGCUCAGAUUUGGAAUCUGGCCCCCAGGGCCCGAGUUGUAAUCUGGAGAGGAUGCUUCUGGCGCGGCGCCUUCCGAGUUCCCUGGAACGGGACGCCGGAGAGGGUGAGAGCCCCGUACGGUUGGACGCCUAGCCUUUGUGAAGCUCCUUCGACGAGUCGAGUAGUUUGGGAAUGCUGCUCAAAAUGGGAGGUAAAUUUCUUCUAAAGCUAAAUACCGGCCAGAGACCGAUAGCGCACAAGUAGAGUGAUCGAAAGAUGAAAAGCACUUUGAAAAGAGGGUCAAACAGUACGUGAAAUUGUUGAAAGGGAAGCGCCCGUGGCCAGACUUGUGCCCCGCGGACCACCCGGCGCCCUCAGCGCCGGUGCACUCCGCGGGGCGCAGGCCAGCAUCGGUUUUCCUAGGGGGAUAAAGGCGGCGGGAACGUGGCUCCCUCGGGAGUGUUAUAGCCCGCCGCGCCAUGCCCCUGGGGGGACCGAGGACCGCGCUUCGGCAAGGAUGCUGGCGUAAUGGCCACCGGCGACCCGUCUUGAAACACGGACCAAGGAGUCAAGCAUUGGGGCGAGUGUCUGGGUGUUAAACCCGCACGCGAAAUGAAAGUAAACGCAGGUGAGAGCUUCGGCGCAUCAUCGACCGAUCCUGAUGUUCUCGGAUGGAUUUGAGUAAGAGCCUUACCGCUUGGACCCGAAAGAUGGUGAACUAUGCCUGUAUAGGGUGAAGCCAGAGGAAACUCUGGUGGAGGCUCGCAGCGGUUCUGACGUGCAAAUCGAUCGUCAAAUAUGGGCAUGGGGGCGAAAGACUAAUCGAACCAUCUAGUAGCUGGUUACCGCCGAAGUU